Molecule: ribosomal RNA, 450 nt
Filed under: uncultured bacterium
Lineage: Bacteria
Description: partial 16S ribosomal RNA
Rfam family: Bacterial small subunit ribosomal RNA
Source: RNAcentral
GUACCAGACUCCUACGGGAGGCAGCAGUGGGGAAUAUUGCACAAUGGGGGAAACCCUGAUGCAGCAACGCCGCGUGAGUGAAGAAGUCAUUCGUGAUGUAAAGCUCUAUCAGCAGGGAAGAAAAUGACGGUACCUGAGUAAGAAGCCCCGGCUAACUACGUGCCAGCAGCCGCGGUAAUACGUAGGGGGCAAGCGUUAUCCGGAUUUACUGGGUGUAAAGGGAGCGUAGGCGGCCUGCCAAGUCUGAUGUGAAAUACCGGGGCUCACCCCCGGGGCUGCUUUGGAAACUGGCAGGCUGGAGUGUCGGAGAGGCAGGCGGAAUUCCUAGUGUAGCGGUGAAAUGCGUAGAUAUUAGGAGGAACACCAGUGGCGAAGGCGGCCUGCUGGACGAUGCCUGCCGCUGAGGCUCGAAAGCGUGGGGAGCAAACAGGAUUAGAUACCCGCGUAUAC